CCCACAUGUUUGAAAGCUUUUGAGGCAUAGUAUGUGUUCAUACUACCACACAAAAGACAUGUAUCCACAGCGCUGCAGAAUUGUGUGGUACUAAUUUGCAUAAGUUGUGCAGAACUGGCAGGUGUUUCUACUAAGGACCACUGACCAGCUGACCUCCUGGAAGGCAGUUAACAAGAGGAGAUGAGAGAAAACCAGACUAGCUGCAUUUGGGAAGGUCUUAGAUAUGGAAACUGUGGACGUGCAUUUCAGUGCCUGCCCAGCAAACAUGGUGGAGGAAGAGCAUGUGUGGUUCCAGGAUGAAGAUCUCCUCCUGCUCUGUGGAAAUGAGUUCCAAUUAACAUCAAUGAUUUCAGAAGACCUGUUCUGGAAGCUGUUUUGUUUCAUCCCAUGUGUCCAUUUUCCUGAUGGGAAUAUGUCUGUAUCAAGUCUAUAAAAUACUACUUUUACAGAAAUGAAUAAAUUAAUUGUGAAUACUUCCGAUGG
This is a long non-coding RNA of Melopsittacus undulatus (budgerigar), 483 nucleotides long. RefSeq lists it as uncharacterized. Lineage: Eukaryota; Metazoa; Chordata; Aves; Psittaciformes; Psittaculidae. The record is from RefSeq and is a predicted model, not a curated record. The transcript is spliced from 3 exons.